GGGAGUCAGCACCGGUGUGCGGCUGGGUCUUAUACCCCCGGGUGCGCCAGAUCAGCGUAGACGGGCCGGUUCGACUCCGGCGGCUCCUACCA
Molecule: transfer RNA, 92 nt
Filed under: Paracoccus sp. R12_1
Lineage: Bacteria; Pseudomonadati; Pseudomonadota; Alphaproteobacteria; Rhodobacterales; Paracoccaceae
Also listed under: 1 other name
Description: tRNA-Ile
Source: RNAcentral